CUACAUUGGGACUUUGCACCAGAUAUUGCCCUAGCAGAACAGGUGAGAAGAAAGUUUGGGUCCACCGUACACUUCUCACCUUCCCGGGACAACAAGGAAUUAUUUCUAGUGGUUUCAUUCUCUUCGGCCUCCUUCCCUCUCACGGUUGAUUCGGUUGGUAUUGCUCUCCAAUGUUGCAUUGGUGGUAUUUGUUCUGGUUUCAACUUGACUCAAACCAACUCUCGCUCUUUUCGGUUCUCGGUGGCUAACAACAAAGUGGGGCAUUUUAUUUAUCGUCUCAAGGAUCGAAUCUGGCCAGACUUUGUUUGUCACUUUCAUCUGUUCAAUGGUAGGGUUGCCAAGGCUCCAAUCCAUGAUUUUGGCUGGCAUGCAGACACUGAACUGCCUGACAUCUCGGCCCGCCGUCCCAUGGCGAUCAAGUCCAACUUGGGUUUUCUAUGUUCCAACAUAAAAUCGGUGCCCUCAUCAGACAAGGUUUUAAGAAAAUUUAAGCUUGUUCCCAUUUACCAUAUGGUUUUCUCAAAUGAUAAUACCUAG
RNAcentral lists this ribosomal RNA (537 nucleotides) under Triticum aestivum (bread wheat). Its description in RNAcentral is "partial small subunit ribosomal RNA". The record is from RNAcentral. Lineage: Eukaryota; Viridiplantae; Streptophyta; Magnoliopsida; Poales; Poaceae.